UUAGCAUGUUGAAACACCGAUUCUCGUACGAUCACCAAAGUUAAGCAACGUCGAACCUCGUCGGUAUCUAGAAGGGUGACCACUUGCGAAGACCAGGUGCCGUGA
Molecule: non-coding RNA, 105 nt
Organism: Acanthosepion pharaonis
Lineage: Eukaryota; Metazoa; Mollusca; Cephalopoda; Sepiida; Sepiidae
Source: the annotation of a GenBank genome assembly